RNAcentral lists this ribosomal RNA (479 nucleotides) under uncultured organism. RNAcentral describes it as "partial 16S ribosomal RNA". It matches the Rfam family "Bacterial small subunit ribosomal RNA", at positions 331 to 801 of the family's 1533-position model. The record is from RNAcentral.
GUACACUCCUGCGGGAGGCAGCAGUGGGGAAUUUUGGACAAUGGGCGAAAGCCUGAUCCAGCAAUGCCGCGCGUGUGAAGAAGGCCUUCGGGUUGUAAAGCACUUUUGUCCGGAAAGAAAUCCUUGGCUCUAAUACAGUCGGGGGAUGACGGUACCGGAAGAAUAAGCACCGGCUAACUACGUGCCAGCAGCCGCGGUAAUACGUAGGGUGCGAGCGUUAAUCGGAAUUACUGGGCGUAAAGCGUGCGCAGGCGGUUUGCUAAGACCGAUGUGAAAUCCCCGGGCUCAACCUGGGAACUGCAUUGGUGACUGGCAGGCUAGAGUAUGGCAGAGGGGGGUAGAAGUCCACGUGUAGCAGUGAAAUGCGUAGAGAUGUGGAGGAAUACCGAUGGCGAAGGCAGCCCCCUGGGCCAAUACUGACGCUCAUGCACGAAAGCGUGGGGAGCAAACAGGAUUAGAUACCCGAGUAGUCCCAUGAU